This 294-nucleotide ribosomal RNA is filed under the name uncultured bacterium. RNAcentral's name for it is "partial 16S ribosomal RNA". It matches the Rfam family "Bacterial small subunit ribosomal RNA", at positions 775 to 1067 of the family's 1533-position model. The record is from RNAcentral.
GGAUUAGAUACCCUGGUAGUCCACGCCCUAAACGAUGUCUACUAGUUGUCGGGUCUUAAUUGACUUGGUAACGCAGCUAACGCGUGAAGUAGACCGCCUGGGGAGUACGGUCGCAAGAUUAAAACUCAAAGGAAUUGACGGGGACCCGCACAAGCGGUGGAUGAUGUGGAUUAAUUCGAUGCAACGCGAAAAACCUUACCUACCCUUGACAUGGCUGGAAUCCCCGAGAGAUUGGGGAGUGCUCGAAAGAGAACCAGUACACAGGUGCUGCAUGGCUGUCGUCAGCUCGUGCCG